UACGUAGGGUGCAAGCGUUGUCCGGAAUUAUUGGGCGUAAAGGGCGCGUAGGCGGCUUUGCAAGUGACGGGUGAAAUCCCUCGGCUUAACCGAGGAACUGCCUGUCAAACUGCAUGGCUUGAGACCGGGAGAGGUGAGUGGAAUUCCCAGUGUAGCGGUGAAAUGCGUAGAUAUUGGGAGGAACACCAGUGGCGAAGGCGGCUCACUGGACCGGUACUGACGCUGAUGCGCGAAAGCGUGGGGAGCAAACAGG
Molecule: ribosomal RNA, 253 nt
Filed under: uncultured bacterium
Lineage: Bacteria
Description: partial 16S ribosomal RNA
Rfam family: Bacterial small subunit ribosomal RNA
Source: RNAcentral